UAUAUUUCAGUACCACUUUCCUGUUAUGUCAAAUGUCUUGUAGGAAACAAAAUGUUAUCAACUCAGAACCAACUUGUGCAAUUUCACAUCCAUUUACAACAAGAAAAACUCAACUGUAUGAUUAAUUACAAACAAAACUUCCUUAUAUUAAAAAUUUGUAGACAACAAGAGAGGCGGGGGAUUUUCAAUACAAGAGCACAUGCUAGAUCAGUAUAUACAUACACAGAAUGGCCAAUAUGUACCAAAAUGAGAUAGAAAUACAUCAAACAAAUAUUGAGCUAAUAUCUUUGCUUCAUUACAAUCAAUUCAUUACAUCUCUAUCAGACCAUUACAUCUGUUAUGCUGUAUCGCUGCGAUGGAGAUCAACAAACCUUGCUCUAUCAGACCAUUGCAGAUACAUUCAUCAUCCUUACUACUUAACUGCUGCCCUACAAAGCCAAUUGCAGCACAUAAACCUCCACCUUGUAAAAGAGUAAAGAAACAGCUCAAUAUAAGAACCUGCAACACUAAGCAUGUAAGUAGAAGGAAGAGAAAAAGAAUUUCUAAUAACAACUCUGUAUUAGUAAGCACAUGAGAAAUACUAAGCAAUAUAUACCUGAGAAGUUAUAAAGCAAAACCUGGGAACUAGCUUUUGUUUCUCAGCAUCACAAGCAGAAUAAAUUAUAAUGAAAGGGAUAUGAACUACCCUCUGUACACCUCCACUUUGAUGAAGAAAAACUAAAACAAUCGAUUCCUAGAAUAGUUGUAAAUUGCCAUCAAAGUUUCAUUUAUCAUGCCAUCCCUACAAAAUUAACAAUUUAUAGGGAUAAACAUGGUACAAAAAUAUAAACUUAAUAUUUGCAAAGUUUACUAACUGGGCUCUUUUUGUGCAACAAAGGGCGUAAUAUUCAGAAUGUACAAGCCAUUAGUAAUGCAAAUUUUGCAUAUGGCCUUCAAUAAGCCCUGCUACACCUAUACAGAGGAAAUUGCAAGAACUAAAAGUUCAAUAUCAUCCACUAUAUUGAAAGUAUUACAGCAGCAUCAGCACAACUCAGAAACCACAACUUCAACAGCAGUUAUUACUCAACCAGUAGUUGCAAAAAGAAGUGUACAGCAACAGCAGCAACAACAUUUCCAAGCCAAACUAGCAAAAAUUCUACACUAAUUAAAAUCCGUCAUGCCCGAGAUUUGACAACUUCUUGUUAGCUAAAAACAAGUAAAAUUAAUUUAAAACAACAUUAGAUGAUAUUAAAUCAAUGAAUAUUUUCUAGGGUCUGCUCAAUUUCAUAAUAAUCAAAUUAUUUAAAUCAAUUGCUAGUAAAUAGCAUAGAGCUCAACUAACAUAUCUCUAAUCAAUAAAUCAAACAAAUUGGGGAUUGAAAUGAGUAGUUCUUGGGAUUCUAAAAUCUAAGCAAACAGUUCAACAAGAUAUUGUAACAAAAAGAUAAAAUUAUGAAUAGUAAAUAAUUUCAUUAUUUAUUUUAAGAGAUACUAAAUCACUGAGACUGCCAUGGAUGAAAGGUUUGAAUGUAACACGAAGCAUUUACAAAGAAAGAAAAAUGGUAACAGAUGGUACUUGUUCAGAUUCUCGGAUAAAAGAUGAAGGAGGCAACCCAAUAGUCAAAUACCCCAAAUAGUAAUGGGUUGAGCAAAAAAUACCCACCAUAAAACAGAAAUUCAAUCAAAUGAGAAGUGCAGACUUGGAGAGAAGUCGACGGGCGAAGGCAGCGGCGGAGAGAAUGGAAGAAUAGGAUUCUAGGGCUCGAAGGGGAUCGAACUGAGGGGCUUCAAAAAUGCCACCGCGUCCCUUCAAAACUACGUCGUUUUGAUAAAAGAAUGUUAUUUAAGGCGAAAUGCUAUUUAAGAAGAAUGCUUUUGAUCCUG
This 1863-nucleotide long non-coding RNA is filed under the name Panax ginseng (ginseng). RNAcentral describes it as "long non-coding RNA (PGIN_LNC011177)". The record is from RNAcentral. Lineage: Eukaryota; Viridiplantae; Streptophyta; Magnoliopsida; Apiales; Araliaceae.